AACCUCCGCAAUGUGAGAAAUCGCGACGGGGGGAUCCCAAGUGCCAUUCUUAACGGGAUGGCUUUUCAUUAGUGUAAAGAGCUUUUGGAAUAAGGGCUGGGCAAGACCGGUGCCAGCCGCCGCGGUAACACCGGCAGCUCUAGUGGUAGCAGUUUUUAUUGGGCCUAAAGCGUCCGUAGCCGGUUUAAUAAGUCUCUGGUGAAAUCCUGUAGCUUAACUGUGGGAAUUGCUGGAGAUACUAUUAGACUUGAGACCGGGAGAGGUUAGAGGUACUCCCAGGGUAGAGGUGAAAUUCUGUAAUCCUGGGAGGACCGCCUGUUGCGAAGGCGUCUAACUGGAACGGUUCUGACGGUGAGGGACGAAAGUUAGGGGCGCGAACCGGAUUAGAUACCCGGGUAGUCCUAACUGUAAACGAUGCGACUUGGUGUUGGGGUGGCUUUGAGCUGCUCCAGUGCCGAAGGGAAGUCGUUAGUACGUCCGCCGUCGGUAGGGUAACGGUACGGUCGACGAAACGUAC
This 517-nucleotide ribosomal RNA is filed under the name uncultured bacterium. RNAcentral describes it as "bacterial SSU rRNA". It matches the Rfam family "Archaeal small subunit ribosomal RNA", at positions 345 to 828 of the family's 1478-position model. The record is from RNAcentral.